Molecule: ribosomal RNA, 560 nt
Filed under: uncultured bacterium
Lineage: Bacteria
Description: bacterial SSU rRNA
Rfam family: Bacterial small subunit ribosomal RNA
Source: RNAcentral
CCUACGGGAGGCAGCAGUGGGGAAUAUUGGACAAUGGGCGAAAGCCUGAUCCAGCAAUGCCGCGUGAGUGAAGAAGGCCUUCGGGUUGUAAAGCUCUUUUACCCGGGAAGAUAAUGACUGUACCGGGAGAAUAAGCCCCGGCUAACUCCGUGCCAGCAGCCGCGGUAAUACGGAGGGGGCUAGCGUUGUUCGGAAUUACUGGGCGUAAAGCGUACGUAGGCGGCUUUGUAAGUCAGAGGUGAAAGCCCACGACUCAAUCGUGGAACUGCCUUUGAGACUGCUUCGCUUGAAGAUGGGAGAGGUUAGUGGAAUUCCGAGUGUAGAGGUGAAAUUCGUAGAUAUUCGGAAGAACACCAGUGGCGAAGGCGGCUAACUGGACCAUUCUUGACGCUGAGGUACGAAAGCGUGGGGAGCAAACAGGAUUAGAUACCCUGGUAGUCCACGCCGUAAACGAUGAUAACUAGCUGUCGGGGCUCUUGGAGCUUCGGUGGCGCAGCUAACGCAUUAAGUUAUCCGCCUGGGGAGUACGGCCGCAGGUUAAAACUCAAAGGAAUUGACGG